Pipra filicauda (Wire-tailed manakin) is the source of this 8193-nucleotide RNA transcript. RefSeq lists it as uncharacterized. The transcript has 2 exons. The record is from RefSeq and is a predicted model, not a curated record. Lineage: Eukaryota; Metazoa; Chordata; Aves; Passeriformes; Pipridae.
AGGGGCUGCGCAACCGGGCGGCCCACGGCGGGCAGGGGAUGGCGGCAGCCCCCUGGGCCCGCAGCAGCCACUCUGCCCCUCCGCGGAGUCGGGACCAGGAGCGGCGGGCGGAGACGGGGCGCGCUGAGACGCUGGUGCAGCCCGGCUUGGUGGGAAGAAACGGUAGUUCGUCAUCUUACUCCCUGCUUGAUACUGUCUUAGACCCUUUCAACAGGGUCUGAAGUCUGAACCACACCAUUCAAGAGCAGAAUAUACAUUCCAAGACCGAAGUGCGAAACAGUUUUUCAAAUGGCUUGUGAAUAGAAAGUAUGGGGUGCAGCUCAGGUUAUCCCACUGUGAUGUGAUCCAGUCCUUCGAGGAAAUCAUCGAAGUUGAAGGUAGUGCUGUAAAAUGGAGCAUGGCAUAGCAUCAGGUAUUAAAGAGACUGAGGCAAACUAACCCUUCUCAAUGUAGAAUGAAACAUUUAGAGACUGUCAUCACUGUCAUGAGCCCACCAGAACAUGUUAUGGCUUUAAGAAAUCAGUUUCUUUCUGAGUAUCUAAGCAAAUGUAUUAAAGAUCAAAUUUUUACUGUGAGGGCAAAAAUGUUUGCACAUAUUUUAUAUACACUUAUAAUAUAUUUGUAUUUCCUGGGGGAGGUGAUAGUACCUUUUCCAUUUGAUGCCCUAGCAGUAUAUGCAAGUUCCAGUGCUGGAGAAGUGCCUUCUCAAGUCAUUGGGAUGAGGCAUAGCGUGCUGAUACAGUGACUGCUAUGAAACUAUUCAAACCUCUUCCAGUGAAGAUGAUUCACUUCUGUGAUUUUACCAGGACUGUCACUAGUUCACCCAAGGGCUGAAUUGCUUUUCUGUUACAUUAGGUCCAGCUGUGCUGUCAAUUUGUCGCCUUAAGCUUCAGCCAAGGGUCCUGAUGUCCUAAUUGUUGCCAUUGUAGAAAUCCUGGGGUUUUGGCUGGGAUGGACAUCCUUUGUGAGAAAACCAGGAGGAAGGAGAGAGGAUGGUUUUCCCCAAAGCCCUCUCCUCAUAGGCACUAUAGCCAUGGGCCAGUCUAAAGUGGGAGCCAUGGACUCAGUCCCCGCUGCAGAUCCCAAAAGUUGUUCACAUGCAUUGAAACAGUUCAAUCAACUGGCUGUUAAUAACAAUUAAAAAACAGCCUUGAGUCCUUGGUAAGUCCUUUAUAUUUCAACAUUUGUAGGGAUCCAGAAUAUUUAGACACAAAAUUCUCACUGAACAUAAACUCUGCAUAUAAAUCCUGGACUUAAAUCUCCUUGAGCUGGAGAUGUGAGAUAUCAGGCUUAAUCUCCACGAGCCUUCACUGAACCAUAAAUAUACUGACUACCAUAGCACACGGGAACAUCACAGAAGAAUUGACUACAAAUUUGCUAAUACUUUUAAAGAGAGAUAAAGAGGUAACAAAUGUGCUAAUGAUUAUCAUUACUGUUUACCACCAUGACACUCACUGGCUGGGAAGGCAGGAAAUAAUGUUCAGAAUAUCUGAGGAAUAUUGCCUUGUUUGAAAAUAUCUCUGCUACUAAUGUGAUGACUGUCUAUGGAGUUGUGGUUGCUGGGAAUUCACACACUGAUUUCAUGGAGAGAUAAAAGAGUGGAGUUUAUAUGGAAUAAACCCCUUUUGAAUAAAACAAUCUGCAUAAAUGCUUUAAGAAAGCCUAUAAUUAUGAUAAAAAUGUUGCUCAAAGUUAAAAUUAUGAAGCAAUCAAAAUUUAUAAACAGUCUCUCAUCGACUUUUAAUCAUACUUUCUCAUAUACAAACUGUAGAAAACAUAUAGUAGCAAUAUAUAACAAUAUGCAUUUUAUUUUUGGUAAUUUAGGGUGCUAUGUCAUGCUCUUUAAUCAGACAAAGCUUGGCUUGUCAAGAUCUGUCGUAUUAUCCUUAAAUGUCAAAAAACACAUUUAGGCCUCCAAGUUAUAUAUACACUUAGCUGAGGUUUUAUCCUGCUGGCAACCUCUGGAGAGGUGGUGUGCCCUCUCUGGGCUAGAUCCGAAGCUUUCUUCUGUCAUAUUCCCACCAAGAUCCUCUGGCUAGGGCCUCUACUCUGACUGCCUGCUCUGAAGGUGCUCACUCAGUCUAACACAGGAUCCUACUCACACCUCCCCUGAAAUUCUCUUGUAGACAUUGCUCUUCAUUUGUGAUUCACUAAGGAGAAUGCUUAAAUUAUAUGCAUCAUGUAGAACUUGGAUGGCAAGAGAUAUUCAAAACAAGGAAUAUUUGUAAUGGGAACCUUGCCAACUUGAAUGGUAGCCUACCAUGUCUAUAAGCUCCAUUGUUUCCUUUGAGCUGAACUAGCUGAACACAUUCAGGAUGCAUCCUGAUAGUAACAUGCCUCUCUUGGCAAGUAGUAAAAUUCACUGGUACUGUGUCCUUAAAAAUGUUAUCACAGAUAGGUCAAAUUAAUGAAGUAUUUGCUUCAAACAAUACAUAUUUUUUUAAUGCAGUAUUACUAGAUUCUUUUCUGGAACAGAAUAGCAUGCAGAGUAUUCCAUCUGAACUCCUUAUGAAAAUGAGAUCUUCUAUUGAACUGACUGGCACAGCUCUUAUAGAUAGAUUGAAGGAUGGAGAAGCACCAUGCAUGCAGCUUGACGUACAUUCUCAGAUAGCAUUUGACUAUCAAGCAGUGGCAUUCUUGGACGUGCUUGUUAUGCUCCUGCCCAUGCCCCAAAUCCAAGCAUGGUGCAACUUCCCUUUUCAGCCGAAAAAAGAGGACCAUUCUAAUUUUAGGACUUUGUGGUUUUGUGAGAGAAAGGCGAAUUUUAUUUUUUCUUCUUUUUACAGCCCAAUUUUCUGACUCUUGGCCCUAUUAGGGGUUUGCCUGCUGAAGGAUGGGUAGAAGUUAUUUUCUGUGAUUAAUACAACAUUUCACUUAAAAGACUUCUUUGCUAUGAAAUCUCUAUAUUUAGCAGUCUAUAAUCAUUAAAUGUAAACAUCAAGCUUCGCUUUGUGUCUGUAUGUGGCCUAAAAAUGUGGUUCUGUUUCUAGCUGAGAGAGAUGAAUGUCAUGAGUGCUCUGUGUAGGAUGGAGAACACAAAUACCACAACAAAACCUAAACAAACCUAAAGCAUGAAACAAAACAUUUUGUACACGUACAUUAAAAUUAUAUUGAAAAUUGGGAGCACGAACUACCAAACUAGGCUUCUUUCUGCAACAAACUGCAACGUCUGUUAAAAAAAAUUUAAAGCAUAAUUGCAAAUUGAAAUUUCCUCCCUAUUCUUCGACAUUUGCGUUUUUCUCUUAACAUCUCCCACAUGUUAAUGCAGCAGCUUCCUAACCCUCUUGUUAUGUAUCACAUUCAAAUGUAACAGUUUAGCAAAUUCUCCAAUUGUGUUGGUGUUCCCUUUCAGACAUGGAAAGCAAUUUGAUGUGUCCUUUUAAUGAGCCAUUUUCAUGCAAGGAGGAAAACAGUGGUUGGGGAAGUUACUAAAGCUUUCUGCUCAUUGAUUUUAAGACUCUCUAUUGAAUCUAUGUUGCUUAAAACCCAGAUUGUUUUGUUAGAAGAGUUAUUCAAACCAUAUUUUCUUCUAACUCCUAAGUUUGAAGAAAUCUAGAUUCCUUUUACUCCUUUCCAGGGGCUGCAGAUUUGUCACUGAAUUGACUCUACCACAGAACUGUGAAGUGAAAUCCAAGACUUAAUUUAAAAAGUUUUUAGCUCUUGGGUUGCUAAUGGUGACUGUCAAAAUGUUAGAAGGAUGCAAAACCAUUUGUGGAUGGUAGUGCAGGGGAAGUGCAGAGGGAAGUCUAAUAGGAGCAGGAGUUCUCUUCAUCUGUAGCAGGCACGGAUUAUAAAUCAUAAUGGUGACAAUAUAAAUGCCAUUUUUUAAGCUGUGCUCCUGUGCUGAUCAUUUCAGUGAUAUUUCUAAUGAACACAAACCUAUUUAUCUUGGUUGAAUGCUGAAGUGGACAGAGGGUAGCAUGCUCAAGAAGAAAACAUUGCAAUGGAUGGUUUCUUUAGAGAAACAAGAAACUUGGGACCCAGCAAAUGACUGUGAGAAGAACAGAUGUGCCAGACCCCCUACACUAGUCACUGAAGCAAACACAGCGGUCAUAAUCCUACUUAUGGUCACAUGUCUUCUUGUACUAGGGUUCCUUCAGGGUUUCACUUAACUGAGAAGACUCUGAGAGAUGGCACAUACUGAGCUUUCAAGCACUGACCAAUAGUGACCAAACUUUUGGCUACAGGGAGCCACAUGAGCUGUGUCACACUGUAGAAUGUAGGUGUGCUUUCCUAGCCCUUUGCUCUGGAGAGACAACUCAGACAAUGGCCUAGCUCCAUGAUGGACAUAGAUUGAAGUACACACCAUCUCAUCCCUGUGUUCAGGUUUUUUUUUUUUUUUUUUGGUGCACUGGAAAAGAGCUGUGGCAUGUAUGCCAGUGAGUCCCCUCAUCUAAAAUGUUGAGAUAUAUGGCUGUUGGGCAUGCUGGUGAGCAUAUGCACCCUACAAAAAAGAAUACAGCUGCAAUCAUCUAAGGAGGUUGGAGAAUGUACAACAAAAAAGCAUAAAGGAAGGUGGUCCCUGUAGCAUGUUGCAGACACGAACAUUCCCACAUGUGCAUGACAUUUAUCAGGGGCUGUGGGUAGUGCAUGUGUGCAAGGCAUAAACUUUUGGUCAUGUUGUCGGGGCAGCAGGGAUGUGUACUGGGACACUGGGUAAAGAAGUUACAGGAUACAAACUGCCAGAACAACUCAUCCAGAUUCCAGUUCCCUCACAGCAAGCUGGUGGUCACAGGGAAUAGGCUACAGGAUUGAAUGAAUGUUUUUCCGGACUGAAUCUUACUUGCUGAAUACAUGUGAAGCACAUUGGUACAACUCAUGACUACAAUUCAGUCUUGCAAAAGUAAAUUUUGUUGGAAUAAGGGACCAUUAGAAAGCAAAUUCUAUAGGACUCAUGUGAGUCCAUUUAAAAGCAAAAUUGUAGCUCAAAUAAGUUUUUUUUUUUUUUUUUUUUUUAAAUUAAAUAAUGGUUUUCUAAAAGCAAGGACUGACCACAAUGUAGUUAAAGUGUAGGUGAAAUUGUUAGCUGAAGCUACUGGUGGACAGAAUUUAGAAAGUACAGGCUCUAUAAAUUAUAUUCAGUAUGUUUUCCAAACUACAUAAGUAAAAUGCCAAUUAUUUAUUAAAAAUCCUACUUCAGUACAAAAGUUUAAAGUUUCUUUUUGGGCACAAUGACAUUGGCUGUACUUAGAGUCUGUAUAUUAGAAUGACAUAGGUCAUUGGGAAAUCAUAAAAGUCUUACCAAAGAGUGAAACCACUGCAUACAUGCUGAACUACGUAACCCCACCACGAAUUGUCUAAACAAAAUAAUUUGAUACUGGCUGUUUUCCACACUUUAAUUAGCAAGCACAGAUGGCUGUUGCAUAAUCCUAUUUAAUGUCUGUGCUGGAUACCUCCCGAAUAGCUCAAUGAUUAAGUUCAUACCUUAGUUUGGCUAAAUGCAUUAGCUGAAAGAAAACUGCUCACACUAAGAUUCACUUUCCGACAUAAAUUUAAUGCAGGCAUGUUUCCUUCCACUGGUUUAACAGAGAAAAAGCUCUAUUAACCUAUAGUAUGUUGGUUGCAAAGAUGCCCCGAGGUAUUUUGUAUAAAUGUAUAUUGAUGUCUUACGCGAAUUUUUCUUCCCCAGCAGAGUUUCUUUGCAACAGAGAUCACAGUGCCCCCAUUAGAUAAUCACCACCCUCAAUGACAUCCAGGCUAAUCAUGCAAUUGAUCACAGUAAAUCAAAGAUUUGGGAAUUCUCCGAACAGCUGUCUGCAGCUAACCCUAUCUGUGCAAUGGGCUGCCUUGGCCACAUUUCCCCUGGAGGCAGAUUUAUGAGAGGGUAAGGGAGGGCAGAUGUUGAGUCUGCAGCCCACCUGUCUGCAGUGCUGGGCCCCAAGGUAUAGUGAUGGCUGUAGUACCACUCCUGCUCCCCACCACUGCUGCUGCUGCCUUGGACUGCUAUUUGCCACAAAGCAACAAGAUCUCCAGUCCUGUUAAUUAUGGUGGCUAACAAGACACUUGCAUACCUGUAUGCAACAUGAAUCAUACUAAUUCAACUCUCAUCAUUUAAGAUUUUUGGAGUUACAAACAGUGUCAGUUCUACCCUGCUUUACCACAUUAGGAAAUAUAUUUUAAGAUGCUUAACCGUUUUUUCAUGUGAGAAAAGCAAAUUCUUAGUUGCUCAACAGGUGCAUAAGCAGUUAUUGGUAGAGGAGUUACGUGCAUUUACUUAGACAAAUAAAAAUUUACAUUAAAAUAACUUUCAAGUAUUUCAAAAUGUAGAAAUGAACAUGAUAAAAAAAUUCUAAGUGAUUACACAAGAUUUUAAUAAUUUUACUAUCUCAGCUCAGUUGGUCUCUCUAAAAAAACCCCUAAAACUACCAUAAAGAAAAGUAAUUAUGUUUUAUCUUAUCUCUCCCAGAAUAUAUUUUAUUACAAAAGUCUAGAACAUCUGUUGUGUAGCAUUCUGUGCAUUUUAAUAACAUAUUUUAAAAAUUUUUAAAGGGAGGAUACAUAUUUCUGUUUUUCAAAAUAUUUAUUGGAUGACAGAAUGUACAGAUAUCAGUGAGAUGUGUACAUAUGAUUUUUAAAGAAAAUGGCAGUGGACAGCUUGUGGUGGGUUUGUCUUAAAAUCACAGUAGUUCUUUCUGUGUCUGGCAUAAAGUUACAACUCACGGCCCAAAGUUACAACUCACUUCCUAAAGUUACACACUGGUUCUGUUCAAGAACAUGGGACAAUAUUCUAUCUCUUGUCAGUGGUGGAAGAACAGAUACAUAAUUUCACGCUUGAUUUUUUUAUAAGGAAGUUAGUUUUGAGAAUGCACUAUGACUUAGUAAUAAAAGGAAGCAUCGACAUAGUUUUGUAUCAACAUUGACAUUGUUUGCUGAACCAAGACCACAAACAAACUCAUCUCAACUGUACUGUUGUUAAUCUGUAAAUUAAGGGAAACCUAUUUCUUCCUGAAGGACAGAAAUUAUAACUUCUACAGAGGUGAUCAAUGUACCUGAACUUCCAACAAGACCAAGAGGUAUUCUUCAUGUCCUCAAGAUAUUACCUCUGCAUUAAAUACCACCUCGGGCUGUACUGAAAUGCUGCUGCCAGUGUAAUUAAGUCUGGCUUUUGUCCCCAAGGCAGAGAGAAACACAACUUAAGCCCAAAUAAAUGGUUGUGGAUAGGACCUGAGAUGGAUAUCUCAAAAGAAAAGAUAUUUCCCAAAUCCUAAAAUGGCUUUUAUGGUCCUGAUUGAUCAGUCUUCUCUUCCACAGAGCUCCCGCUGGAUGCAAAAGAGAGUUCAAUGGGAGAAAACAAUGGCUUGAGUGGAUGACAUGGAGUAUACUAGAAUACAUCUAGAAUUAAGUUAAUGUUCUCUUCAGGAGAAGGUGAAAACCAGAUACAGUAAUACACUACUGGUCCACAAGAAGCUUUUUUAGACAUUUUUUCUUUGGUUGGGUUUUUUAAAUGCAUUUCUGUUUGGGUGCUUUCUUUCAGGCAAACUCAAUGCAGAAAUUUAUAAAGAUCCCACUUAUUCCAUCUAUGUCCAACAAAUACCAGAAAAAAAUACAAAAGCAUGCAAGGAUGUUAGAUUAAUUAUGGGGAACACUGUGCUUGUUAAUGAUUUUCAUUAUAUUUAUUUAGAGUAAAGACACCAAAGAAAUGAGAAGGAUCUUUGUAUUAUAUUCUUCUGAAGCCCUGUGAUAACAAAAAGUUUGAGAUUCUUUUGAAUCACAAUAAUUCCUUUGAAAUAGGCAGAAGUGGCUAAUGUGGGAUUCCUGAUAUUCAGCAAUGAGAAAGGAAUCUUACUCAAAAUAUGGUAAUUCUUCCAUCUCUACUUCUUCCAUCUCUCUGUACACUCCCAAAGACAGUUUAUGUGGUAAGCUCUGCAAAUCAAAGUAAAACCAGGUAUUUCCUAAAGACAUGGUAGUACCUGGAGAAUCUUUAGGAACGCAAGAGACCCUUACACUGAAUGUCUUUUUUUUCUGCUGGCCUGGCUUGGUAAUAAAAGUUGAAAAGUUAUCUUAUGAAAAUCAAUGGCAUAUCUUAGAGAACACAGAAAGCAGAAGCACAGUUCAAGUAAUGAAUGGAAUAACUUCAAUUAUAUUUGGUUUGGGUGUAUGGACUGAGUUAACUGCACUUACAGAAAUGUGUUUUCAAGUUAAUUAUCUAAUGUAAUUUUAAUUUAAAUAUAUUAAAGGGACUUUUUUUUCUCA